RNAcentral lists this ribosomal RNA (429 nucleotides) under Chloroflexota bacterium. Its description in RNAcentral is "Chloroflexi bacterium partial 16S ribosomal RNA". It matches the Rfam family "Bacterial small subunit ribosomal RNA", at positions 355 to 776 of the family's 1533-position model. Lineage: Bacteria; Bacillati; Chloroflexota. The record is from RNAcentral.
UGGGGAAUAUUGCACAAUGGGCGCAAGCCUGAUGCAGCCAUGCCGCGUGUAUGAAGAAGGCCUUCGGGUUGUAAAGUACUUUCAGCGGGGAGGAAGGCGAUAAGGUUAAUAACCUUAUCAAUUGACGUUACCGACAGAAGAAGCACCGGCUAACUCCGUGCCAGCAGCCGCGGUAAUACGGAGGGUGCAAGCGUUACUCGGAAUUACUGGGCGUAAAGCGCACGCAGGCGGUCUGUCAAGUCGGAUGUGAAAUCCCCGAGCUCAACCUGGGAACUGCAUUCGAAACUGGCAGGCUAGAGUCUUGUAGAGGGGGGUAGAAUUCCAGGUGUAGCGGUGAAAUGCGUAGAGAUCUGGAGGAAUACCGGUGGCGAAGGCGGCCCCCUGGACAAAGACUGACGCUCAGGUGCGAAAGCGUGGGGAGCAAACAGG